AGCGGAGGAAAAGAAACUAACCAGGAUUCCCCUAGUAACGGCGAGUGAAGAGGGAGAAGCCCAGCACCGAAGCCUGCGGUAGUGUUACUGCUAGGCAAUGUGGUGUUUGGGUCGGCUAGUGGGAUUGCCACUCCGUUCGAAGUCCAGCAUUGAGUAUGGUACCCUGGAUUUGGCCCAUAGAGGGUGAAAGGCCCGUGCGAAUGGAAGUUUCAGACAUGAAAGGCGAUUCACCAGGUCGACCUUAGAGUCGGGUUGUUUGAGAAUGCAGCCCAAAGUGGGUGGUAAACUCCAUCCAAGGCUAAAUACUAGCACGAGUCCGAUAGCGAACAAGUACCGUGAGGGAAAGUUGAAAAGUACUCUGAAGAGAGAGUAAACAGUACGUGAAACCGCAUAAAGGUAAACGGGUGGCGUCAAGCUGCAAGCCUGGAGGAUUCAGCCGGUCAUUUUGUAGGGUAUACGUCCUGUGUAUCCCAGUCGGUGAUAGUGAGUAGUCUGCUGGCAACGGCGGGCCUGGCCGCAAGGCUAGGAUGUACGUUCCACUUGUUCGGUGGUGUACGCUGCUCGGCUAUUGGACUGGAUGGCCAGUGCACUUCCUCCAUUAAGGUGAACACCACGACCGGUGGAACUGCCAGUCUGGUAUAGCCAAGUUGUGUCUAUUCUUGCAUUCGUGUGGAUUAGGCUCAAUCACAGGCAGAUUCGGUGGACGGUGAGUGAACUUCGGUUUGCUCAUGUUAUCGGUCACUGGCUGUCAACGGGUUCGUCCGCUGAGGUUGCAGUCCUUGGUGGGUGGCCUGGUGGGCUUUACUGGUAAGAAUAACUGUGCAGGGCACCGGAGUUGUCGGUCUCUAAUCCGGUUGGCGCACGCGCUGCAAGUGUGUGUGGAGGUGCCAUUUCGGCCUGUCGUUGGUUGGGUCUGAUUGCCGUGUCGCCUGCGAAAAGUAGGUCCGGUAGUGGCUCGGCUACGGUUGGUGCAUGGAGUGGUGCUUCUCUGUCAGUCGGUGUGGACCCAAUAGUCUGUGGUGUAGUGGUAGACGAGCUACCCGACCCGUCUUGAAACACGGACCAAGGAGUUUAACAUACACGCGAGUCAUUGGGGACUUCCGAAACCCACAGGCGCAAUGAAAGUGAAGCCUCCUUUGGAGGUGUGGUGAGAUCCUGCUGUUACUCGCAUCUGCACUCGUGUAGCUUGUCGGCUCAGGGCGCAAAGAGCGGUGGGCGCAUCACCGGCCCGUCUCAUGAUGUGGUCAUUGGUCGG
Molecule: ribosomal RNA, 1255 nt
Filed under: Tentaculariidae sp. HR-2017
Lineage: Eukaryota; Metazoa; Platyhelminthes; Cestoda; Trypanorhyncha; Tentaculariidae
Description: eukaryotic LSU rRNA
Rfam family: Eukaryotic large subunit ribosomal RNA
Source: RNAcentral